Piliocolobus tephrosceles (Ugandan red Colobus) is the source of this 1455-nucleotide long non-coding RNA. NCBI's taxonomy places the organism in Eukaryota, Metazoa, Chordata, Mammalia, Primates, Cercopithecidae. The record is from Ensembl.
CACUCACUGUGGAGUGCCGGCCUUGCCAGAAGAAGUAGACGCACUUCUCUUUGCCAGCCGCCCUCACCGAGUGCUCCCCCUUCUGGCGACUUCCCACUGCAAACACAGAACGGCAGAGGGACAGGUCAGCAGCUGACACACCUGAGGAGAAGCAAAUGCCCGGCUCACUUCCCCAGGGCCUGCGAGGACCAGUGGCAAAGAGACAGCCUCAGGCCUGGGGCUGGGGAGAAACCACUGGCACCUGGAGGGAAGGUGUGGCUCUUGUGGGCACAAGUGAUAGAGGAGCCGGACGAGUGUCACCAAGGGGCCAGAGCUUUUGCGUUGGCUACAGAGUGACUGCAAGUGCCAUCGGACUGUGCUUCUGCUGCUGGAGGGAUGGUCUGGAAUCUGAACGCUCCCUGCUUUAACUUAAUUCUCUAAAGCUGGACUUUUUCUAAGUUGUAAGUCAGCUGGAAAAGAUGUUGUUGGAGCUGGUUGGGAGAUGUCCAUUGUGUUUAUUGGGAAGAAAUGUAGAAAGGAAUCACCUGGGUCAAAUCGUAUUUCCUAGGGGCCUCCAAGUCAAUAGUCCCUGAAAGUCUUUGAACUCUUUGCUUUAUUUUUAAUUAAUUCACUUUAACAGGUUUACUCAUUCAUUCACUCACUAUUACCCUUUUUUUCCCUCCUCAUAACUAACAGCUAAAGUAAGAAAAUGGCUAAAUUAAACUAUGUCUGGUUUUAUGCAACACGAUUUCCCUUUUUGCAUUUUAGGAACGGACACUCCAAGUGCCUUAAUUUGUUCUUUAAAGCUCCCAGUUCCAUUACUCCAAAGGUGAAGAGAUCUGCCUGCCCCAAAACACACUCAAUUCCCUGUUAUUGUCGUCUUUGGUAACCAGCAUCAGAGAUGAUCACUGUACAUGCCACCUCUGCACGAGAGCAAGAGCGGAAAUCCACGACAGUGACUCUUCGGAAAUUAUUAUUUUGGGGAGAUCCACGUUAUCUCAUCCUCAAGUUAAGAACAGUAAUUAUGCUGUUCGUGCUGACAUGUCAGUGAUGAGUAUUUCCUGCACCUACAAUGUGAACACAGGCCAGGCACCUGCUAAACGUCAUAUACACCUGAUUAUAAAGUCCUGUGAGCUGAGUACUAUAAUCCCUAUUUUCCAGGUGAGAAAACCAAGGCUCAGACAGGGUAACUUUACCCAGCCCACACAGCUGGUAAGUGAGGGCCUGAGAUUCUGAAUCCCAGGCUGUAGGGCCCCAGUGCCUGUGGCCUUCCCUCAAGGGACACGGCUCCUUAUGAAAAAGGAAAGGAGCAGUUCCAAUUGCUUGCUCAUAAGAAAUUAAGCAGAUGAGAAAUGCCACUCCCUAUGGGAGACUGAAGUGGGGGAUGGUUUGAGCCCAGGAGUUUGAGACCAGCCUGGGCAACAUAGUGAGACCCCAUCUCUACAAAAAAUAAAAAAUUAGCCUGAUAUGGUGGCA